UGCGGUUGUUUCUUAAGGCAGGAUCUCACUAUGUAGUUCAAGCUGGCCUUGAAGUCACUAUGUAGCCCAGGCUGGCCUUGUACUUGUGGUGAUCUUCCUGCCUCAGCCUCAUGAGCACUGGGAUUACAGGUAUGCAGCACCAUGCCUAGCUUCAGAAUAUGUUAAAAAGUCUUACAAUUCAACAAUAGAAAAAUAAACCAAUUUUUAAUGGACAAAAGCUUUAAAGACACAGUAUCAAAAACUGGUGUACAGAUGACCAAUAACCACAAGAAAAGAUGAUCAACAUCCUUCAUCACAAGAGAAAUGCAAAUAAGUAAAAACCAUAAAGCCCUAGCACUACACAGGGCUCAAAUCAAAAUUCCAACCAGUGCCCAAAGGUGGGGAAGAUGUAGGGCAACUGAUAUCUGCACCACACCUGGCUUAAUACAUUGUCUUUUGAAAACUUUAAAAUACUACUCAAGUAAACACAAUGAUUUCUUUAAUUCCAGUCCCGUCCAAUUUGUAAACUUUCUUCCAGAUGUUUUUCAUACACACUCAUUAUAUUUGUAAACAAGAAAAAGACGUACACACCAUGCCGAGGUAGGCGAGUUUGCAGCCCUCUCCCUCUGUGUUGCUCGUCCUAGUGAGCUGUGUUCCCUCCGUGGUCAGUAGAUGCCCAGCCCUCUCCGCUCCCAGCUCAGCACCCUGUACCUGUCCCUGUCCCCGUCCCCGUCCCGUCCGGGCUGAAGUGGCUUCCACGCAGCUGUGACAGGCACCCCCCACAGUCCCGGCCAGCGGGUCAGCCUGACCAGCAGGAGCCGGCGCCACAGCAGCCGGAGCCAGAGGACGCUGCGUUCUUUGGAUCUGAUACCAAACCAGCCAGAACUUAAACCGUUCUACUGACCCCGGGGAGACCUGUUCAAGGUCACAUAAGCCACUGGCAGCCACAGGAAGGAAGAGGAUGAAAUGACCAUGCUGCCCUCGGCCAGCAGACAGCCACGCCAGGCCACUGUCCUGCCGAGCCAGGCAGGGGCACCAGAGCGCGAGUCAGCGCUGGCAGCUGUGACAGCUGGAUUUCGGAAAGUUACAGGACGGCUCCCGGAGCAUUCACCCCAUCAACGUAGGAGAAGCCCAGUGCUCUCAAGGCCCAGGUGCUGCUGUGACGUCCAUCACAGGGAGACCCAGAGCUGCCACAGCAGGGUCUCCAGACUCUAUCGUGUAUUACUAAUAGAAGCCAAAGUGAUCAAUGGAACAACUCUCAACAACACAUUUCUCGUGCAUCUUAAGAAAGUAACCCUGAUGUUAACAAACACUCCCUCGACUCUUACUUACAGAAGCACUGAACAAAGGCCUUUGGUUUCCUGGUAAAGAAGUCCAAUUAAUUCAAGGACAUUGAGUAAGGAAUGGGCUAAACACAGACUGGCCUCCGACGUCAAUCUCCUCCGCUCCACCGUGACCCUGGAACCCUUAAGAUGCUGGAACACAUUUCAAGAACUCGGAUUGGGCAUCAUUGGCAGGGUCUGGCCUGGCCAGCAGGCUGUGGAGAGCAGGGCCUGAACACCCAGCAUCUGUAUUCUCCACAGACCCUAGCAUUUUAGCCAGGUAGGAAAGUUAUUCUAACCCUAACCCUGGCAAAGGUGAUAAGAGUCUUCAGGAUUUGUUUCAGGCACUUCAAGAAGUGAAGCAGCAUUUAUCCAAGCAGUCUAUAAAAUAUGAUGGGCUGGGUGUGGUGCUGCACACCUGUAAUUCCAGCACUUGGGAGGCUGAGGAAGGAGGAUUGCUGUGCGUUCGAGGCCAGCCUGGACUACACAGUGAGACUCUAUCUCAUAAAAUAAAAUAAAAUACGAUGGGACUGAAAUAAGCUGUCGCAAGGUUCAGCCCCAUGGUAUUUAUAUUGUGCCUAAUAGUCCACUGGGGCUGCUAUAACCACAUACCGUAAACCAGGCAGUUUGUGACAACAACAUGUAUUUC
RNAcentral lists this long non-coding RNA (1950 nucleotides) under Fukomys damarensis (Damara mole-rat). Its description in RNAcentral is "lncRNA (ENSFDAG00000023679.1)". Lineage: Eukaryota; Metazoa; Chordata; Mammalia; Rodentia; Bathyergidae. The record is from RNAcentral.